This 566-nucleotide ribosomal RNA is filed under the name uncultured bacterium. RNAcentral's name for it is "bacterial SSU rRNA". It matches the Rfam family "Bacterial small subunit ribosomal RNA", at positions 917 to 1482 of the family's 1533-position model. The record is from RNAcentral.
GGACCCGCACAAGCAGCGGAGCAUGUGGUUUAAUUCGACGCAACGCGAAGAACCUUACCUGGGCUUGACAUGUUCCUGACCGCGUUGGAAACAACGCUUCCCUUCGGGGCAGGAUCACAGGUGGUGCAUGGCUGUCGUCAGCUCGUGUCGUGAGAUGUUGGGUUAAGUCCCGCAACGAGCGCAACCCCCGUCGCAUGUUGCCAGCAUUCAGUUGGGGACUCAUGUGAGACUGCCGGUGACAAACCGGAGGAAGGUGGGGAUGACGUCAAGUCAUCAUGCCCCUUAUGUCUUGGGCUACACACGUGCUACAUUGGCCGGUACAAAGGGCUGCAAACUCGCGAGAGUGAGCGAAUCCCAAAAAGCCGGUCCCGGUUCGGAUUGGAGGCUGAAACUCGCCUCCAUGAAGGCGGAGUUGCUAGUAAUCGCGAAUCAGCAACGUCGCGGUGAAUAUGUUCCCGGGCCUUGUACACACCGCCCGUCACACCACGAAAGUUGGCAAUACCCGAAGCCGGUGGCCUAACCCGCAAGGGAGGGAGCCGUCUAAGGUAGGGUUGAUGAUUGGGGUG